Molecule: ribosomal RNA, 502 nt
Filed under: uncultured bacterium
Lineage: Bacteria
Description: bacterial SSU rRNA
Rfam family: Bacterial small subunit ribosomal RNA
Source: RNAcentral
UGAACGCUGGCGGCGUGCCUAACACAUGCAAGUCGUACGAGAAAUCUUUUGUUCGCAGAAGAGAGUAAAGUGGCGCACGGGUGAGUAACGCGUGGACAAUCUGCCUCUGAAUCGGGGAUAACGUUACGAAAGUGACGCUAAUACCGGAUAAUAUCUAGAAUGCUUCGGUUUUUUAGAUCAAAGGGGGCCACUACAUGUAAGCUUCUGUUUAGAGAUGAGUCCGCGUGCCAUUAGCUUGUUGGUAGGGUAACGGCCUACCAAGGCUGCGAUGGCUAGCUGGUCUGAGAGGAUGAUCAGCCACACUGGAACUGAGACACGGUCCAGACUCCUACGGGAGGCAGCAGUGAGGAAUCUUGCGCAAUGGGGGAAACCCUGACGCAGCAACGCCGCGUGAGUGAAGAAGGCUUUCGGGUCGUAAAGCUCUGUCAAGUGGGAAGAACCUGUCCUAUGUUAAUACCAUGGGGCACUGACGGUACCAUUGAAGGAAGCACCGGCUAACUCC